RNAcentral lists this ribosomal RNA (274 nucleotides) under uncultured bacterium. RNAcentral describes it as "partial 16S ribosomal RNA". It matches the Rfam family "Bacterial small subunit ribosomal RNA", at positions 523 to 796 of the family's 1533-position model. The record is from RNAcentral.
AUACGGAGGGGGCAAGCGUUGUUCGGAAUUACUGGGCGUAAAGGGCGCGUAGGCGGAUUAUCAAGUCAGAGGUGAAAGCCCUGGGCUCAACCUGGGAACUGCCUAUGAAACUGAUAGUCUUGAGGCCGGAAGAGGAUGGCGGAAUUCCCAGUGUAGAGGUGAAAUUCGUAGAUAUUGGGAAGAACACCAGUGGCGAAGGCGGCCAUCUGGUCCGGUACUGACGCUGAGGCGCGAAAGCUAGGGGAGCAAACAGGAUUAGAUACCCGGGUAGUCC